RNAcentral lists this ribosomal RNA (440 nucleotides) under uncultured bacterium. Its description in RNAcentral is "partial 16S ribosomal RNA". It matches the Rfam family "Bacterial small subunit ribosomal RNA", at positions 338 to 795 of the family's 1533-position model. The record is from RNAcentral.
CCUACGGGCGGCAGCAGUGGGGGAUAUUGCACAAUGGGGGAAACCCUGAUGCCGCGACGCCGCGUGGGUGAAGAAGCGCCUCGGCGCGUAAAGCCCUGUCAGCAGGGAAGAAAAUGACGGUACCUGAAGAAGAAGCCCCGGCUAACUACGUGCCAGCAGCCGCGGGAAUACGUAGGGGGCAAGCGUUAUCCGGAUUUACUGGGUGUAAAGGGGGCGCAGACGGCGAUGCAAGCCAGUAUUGAAAGCCCGGGGCCCAACCCCGGGACUGCUCUUGGAACUGCGUGGGUAGAGUGAAGGAGGGGCAGGCGGAAUUCCUGGUGUAGCGGUGAAAUGCGUAGAUAUCAGGAGGAACACCGGUGGCGAAGGCGGCCUGCUGGACUGCAACUGACGUUGAGGCCCGAAAGCGUGGGGAGCAAACAGGAUUAGAUACCCCAGUAGUC